This 253-nucleotide ribosomal RNA is filed under the name uncultured bacterium. Its description in RNAcentral is "partial 16S ribosomal RNA". It matches the Rfam family "Bacterial small subunit ribosomal RNA", at positions 524 to 776 of the family's 1533-position model. The record is from RNAcentral.
UACGAAGGGUGCAAGCGUUAAUCGGAAUUACUGGGCGUAAAGCGCACGUAGGCGGUUUUUUAAGUCAGAUGUGAAAUCCCCGGGCUCAACCUGGGAACUGCAUUUGUGACUGCAAGGCUAGAGUACGGCAGAGGGGGAUGGAAUUCCGCGUGUAGCAGUGAAAUGCGUAGAUAUGCGGAGGAACACCGAUGGCGAAGGCAAUCCCCUGGACCUGUACUGACGCUCAUGCACGAAAGCGUGGGGAGCAAACAGG